This 740-nucleotide ribosomal RNA is filed under the name uncultured bacterium. RNAcentral describes it as "bacterial SSU rRNA". It matches the Rfam family "Bacterial small subunit ribosomal RNA", at positions 85 to 843 of the family's 1533-position model. The record is from RNAcentral.
AGUGGUGAAAGUGGCGAACGGGUGAGUAACACGUAGAUAACCUGCCCUGAAGCGGGGGAUAACGAUUGGAAACGGUCGCUAAUACCGCAUGAGUCCAUCGAAUCGGGAGAGAGAUGGAGAAAAUUACGGUGCUUCAGGAGGGGUCUGCGUCCGAUUAGCUAGUUGGCGAGGUAAAGGCUCACCAAGGCGACGAUCGGUAGCUGUCUGAGAGGACGAUCAGCCACACGGGAACUGAGACACGGUCCCGACUCCUACGGGGGGCAGCAGUGAGGAAUAUUGGGCAAUGGGCGGAAGCCUGACCCAGCAACGCCGCGUGGAGGAUGAAGGCCUUCGGGUCGUAAACUCCUUUUGUCGGGGAAGAGGAAGGACGGUACCCGGCGAAUAAGUCACGGCUAACUACGUGCCAGCAGCCGCGGUAAUACGUAGGUGACAAGCGUUAUCCGGAAUUACUGGGCGUAAAGCGCACGCAGGCGGCUGCUUAAGUCUGACGUAAAAUCUCCUGGCUUAACUGGGAGGGGUCGUUGGAAACUGAGUAGCUUGAGGCAGUGAGAGGGGUGUAGAAUUCCCGGUGUAGUGGUGGAAUGCGUAGAUAUCGGGAGGAAUACCAGAGGCGAAGGCGACACCCUGGCACUGACCUGACGCUCAUGUGCGAAAGCGUGGGGAGCGAACGGGAUUAGAUACCCCGGUAGUCCACGCUGUAAACGAUGAGUACUAGGUGUAGGUAGAGUGAAAUCUGUCUG